UACGUAGGGUGCAAGCGUUAUCCGGAAUUACUGGGUGUAAAGGGUGUGUAGGCGGGCUUGUGCGUCGGAAGUUAAAGACCCGGGCUUAACUCGGGAGCUGCUUUCGAUACGGCAAGUCUUGAAUGUGAGAGAGGAUGAUGGAAUUCCUGGUGUAGCGGUGAAAUGCGUAGAUAUCAGGAGGAACACCAGUAGCGAAGGCGGUCAUCUGGCUCAUCAUUGACGCUGAGGCACGAAAGCGUGGGGAGCGAACAGG
RNAcentral lists this ribosomal RNA (253 nucleotides) under uncultured bacterium. RNAcentral's name for it is "partial 16S ribosomal RNA". It matches the Rfam family "Bacterial small subunit ribosomal RNA", at positions 524 to 776 of the family's 1533-position model. The record is from RNAcentral.